AGUGAACGCUGGCGGUAGGCCUAACACAUGCAAGUCGAACGGCAGCACAGUAAGAGCUUGCUCUUACGGGUGGCGAGUGGCGGACGGGUGAGGAAUACAUCGGAAUCUACUUUUUCGUGGGGGAUAACGUAGGGAAACUUACGCUAAUACCGCAUACGACCUACGGGUGAAAGCAGGGGAUCUUCGGACCUUGCGCGAUUGAAUGAGCCGAUGUCGGAUUAGCUAAUUGGCGGGGUAAAGGCCCACCAAGGCGACGAUCCGUAGCUGGUCUGAGAGGAUGAUCAGCCACACUGGAACAGAGACACGGUCCAGACUCCUACGGGAGGCAGCAGUGGGGAAUAUUGGACAAUGGGCGCAAGCCUGAUACAGCCAUACCGCGUGGGUGAAGAAGGCCUUCGGGUUGUAAAGCCCUGUUGUUGGGAAAGAAAAGCAGCAGGUUAAUACCCCGCUGUUCUGACGGUACCCAAAGAAUAAGCACCGGCUAACUUCGUG
Molecule: ribosomal RNA, 492 nt
Filed under: uncultured bacterium
Lineage: Bacteria
Description: partial 16S ribosomal RNA
Rfam family: Bacterial small subunit ribosomal RNA
Source: RNAcentral